GUAACACAGUAAAAAAAAUGAUAAAAGGUAAAUGUGCAACUAUGUGUACGAAGAUGAAUAUGAGGAGGUGGUGCCUGCUGUCUAGGUAUUCACGUGCGUGUUGUCGUACAGCAGUCACCGUGCUCGGCUGACACUCCGGGUUAGCUGUGGGUGUCGAAAGGCUGUUGUUAUAGGAAGGGAGAAUAAGAGUAACACCUAGGUAUGAGGUGCAGACGAAGUGCAAGACACAAAUACUUGGGGUAUAGGAGAGGACAAUGAAGUACGAGGUGCAGACGAAGUGCAAGACACAAGUACUCCAAAGAGAGAACGGGGUAGCCGAGUAUAAGGUGCAGACGAAGUGCAAGACACAAAUACUGGGCGUACCAGAUAAGGAGUAUAACAAAGUACGAGGUGCAGACGAAGUGCAAGACACAAGUACUCUGAAAUGUCGAGGAAAAGAGUAUAUAGGUUAGAAAAGGGAUAAACAAAGACUUUACUUUAAACAGUAAGCCGGACAGCGACAACCGAGUACUGAGACUGAUGAAUGACACAAGGCACUGGAGUCGACUGACCACGAUGGUCAGGUCUAUUGGGUUUUUAUAAUAAUUACACCUAUUGCCGAUUUGGCAAUAAAUAUUAUUUGUUAAUUCACCAGUCUCAGGCAGCGGAUGUGCUGUCUGUAUUUUAUUAAAAUAAUUCUCACGAUUAUGAAAACG
Molecule: long non-coding RNA, 695 nt
Organism: Daktulosphaira vitifoliae (grape phylloxera)
Lineage: Eukaryota; Metazoa; Arthropoda; Insecta; Hemiptera; Phylloxeridae
Exons: 3
Source: RefSeq, a predicted model, not a curated record